RNAcentral lists this ribosomal RNA (253 nucleotides) under uncultured bacterium. Its description in RNAcentral is "partial 16S ribosomal RNA". It matches the Rfam family "Bacterial small subunit ribosomal RNA", at positions 524 to 776 of the family's 1533-position model. The record is from RNAcentral.
UACAGAGGUCCCAAGCGUUGUUCGGAUUCACUGGGCGUAAAGGGUGCGUAGGCGGUUGGAUAAGUCUGGCGUGAAAUCUCCGGGCCUAACCCGGAAACUGCGUUGGAUACUAUUCGGCUAGAGGAAUGGAGGGGAGACUGGAAUACUUGGUGUAGCAGUGAAAUGCGUAGAUAUCAAGUGGAACACCAGUGGCGAAGGCGACACCCUGGACCAGCACUGACACUGAGGCACGAAAGCGUGGGGAGCAAACAGG